CAGAUUCUCACUUUGUCACCCAGGCUACAGUGCAGUGGUGCGAUCUCAACUCACUGCAACGUCUGCCUCCUGGGUUCAAGCAAUUCUCCUGCCUCCGCCUCUCAAGUAGCUGAGAUUACAGGAAUUACACACUAAUAGUGAAGAACAGGUGGCACCUGAAAUCACGGAAAAUGUAUUUGUCCUCAAUGCAAAGAUGAACUAUAAAGAGCACUUUAUUGUGUUUGAAGAAUGUAGGAAUGAUGAGUGAAAUGGUGAAGGAAGUGGAUAAACAAUGAUACAAUGACUUUGCCUCAUCUUUCAACUCAAUAAGCCAGUGAGGAACUUGGUAAAUUUGUUGAUUAUGUUUAGUUUUACAAUGCUUAAUUCUUUACUAUUU
Long non-coding RNA from Piliocolobus tephrosceles (Ugandan red Colobus), 376 nucleotides. RefSeq lists it as uncharacterized. The transcript is spliced from 3 exons. NCBI's taxonomy places the organism in Eukaryota, Metazoa, Chordata, Mammalia, Primates, Cercopithecidae. The record is from RefSeq and is a predicted model, not a curated record.